Molecule: ribosomal RNA, 253 nt
Filed under: uncultured bacterium
Lineage: Bacteria
Description: partial 16S ribosomal RNA
Rfam family: Bacterial small subunit ribosomal RNA
Source: RNAcentral
UACAGAGGGUGCAAGCGUUGUUCGGAAUCAUUGGGCGUAAAGCGCACGUAGGCGGCUUGUUAAGUCGGAUGUGAAAGCCCCAGGCUCAACCUGGGAAGUGCAUUCGAAACUGGCGAGCUUGAAUGUCGGAGAGGGCAGUGGAAUUCCGAGUGUAGAGGUGAAAUUCGUAGAUAUUCGGAGGAACACCAGUGGCGAAGGCGACUGCCUGGACGAACAUUGACGCUGAGGUGCGAAAGCGUGGGGAGCAAACAGG